RNAcentral lists this ribosomal RNA (459 nucleotides) under uncultured bacterium. RNAcentral describes it as "partial 16S ribosomal RNA". It matches the Rfam family "Bacterial small subunit ribosomal RNA", at positions 338 to 795 of the family's 1533-position model. The record is from RNAcentral.
CCUACGGGAGGCAGCAGUGAGGAAUAUUGGUCAAUGGGCGUGAGCCUGAACCAGCCAAGCCGCGUGAAGGAAGAAGGCGCCAGGCGUCGUAAACUUCUUUUGUCGGGGGACAAAGGGGGCCACGCGUGGCGUUUUGAAUGUACCCGACGAACAAGCAUCGGCUAACUCCGUGCCAGCAGCCGCGGUAAUACGGAGGAUGCGAGCGUUAUCCGGAUUUAUUGGGUUUAAAGGGUGCGUAGGCGGUCCGGAAAGUGAGCGGUAAAAGUCCGGGGCUCAACCCCGGAGAGCCGGUGAAACUGGCGGACUAGAGACGGCGGGAGGCAGGCGGAAUGCGCGGUGUAGCGGUGAAAUGCAUAGAUAUCGCGAAGAACUCCGAUUGCGAAGGCAGCGUACCGGCGCCGGACUGACGCUGAGGCACGAAAGCGCGGGUAUCGAACAGGAUUAGAUACCCCUGUAGUC